This is a long non-coding RNA of Suricata suricatta (meerkat), 506 nucleotides long. RefSeq lists it as uncharacterized. The transcript has 2 exons. NCBI's taxonomy places the organism in Eukaryota, Metazoa, Chordata, Mammalia, Carnivora, Herpestidae. The record is from RefSeq and is a predicted model, not a curated record.
UGCCCCUGUGAUAGGUCAUUCUAGAGGUGACUCCAUAGUCCAUCUGGGCAGGUAAGAGUCCGGGGGUUAAGCUCAAACUGGUUUGGGUGGUCUGGGCCUUCAGUAUAGUCUCUAUUGCUGAAGGUGUGGCUUUGCUUUCCAUUUGCCUGCGUUAAGGGAUGAGCUGGAAAGAAGAGCUUCGGGAAAAAUGUGGGACAGAGAUCGGACCAAAAAGAACCCUAAGGGAUUUAGUCAAGGAAACAGUUUGCUUCUCCUAUGAGUCAAAGGACAUCAGUGACCUGUAGAAGCUGGGAACAGCCCUCAGCUGAUAGCCAGGAAGAAAAUGACAACCACAAGAAACUGAAUUCUGGCCCAAGAAUGUGAAUGAUGAGCAAAGAAAGGGAUUCUCCUUUAGGGCUUCCAAAGGAACACAGCGUGCCACCACUUAUAUUUUAGCCCUAUGAGAUCUAUGGCUGAUUUCUAAUAGACACAAGUAUAAGGUAAUACAUGUGUGUUGUUUUAAGCCA